GGGAGACGCAGGGACAGGGAGACGAGAUAAAGAGACGCACAGAGGAGGAGAUGCAGCGAGGGACAGGCGCCGAGAUGGGGAGGACAGGGAGCGGUCGGGGUGAUGGAACAGAGGGAGAGACAGGAACGGAGGACGAGAGAGAUGGAAGGGAGAGAGACAGAGGGAGAGAGAAAUGGAGGAGAGACAGAGGGAGAGACGGGCAGAGGUAGAGAGAGAUGGAGGGGAGAGAGAGGGGGAGACGGAGAGAGAGAGAUGGAGGAGAGACAGGCAGAGACAGAGGGAGAGACAGACACAGCAGAGGGAGGUGGAAGGGAGAGGUGGGGAAGAAACACCAGAGGAAGAGGUGAAACAGGGAGAGACGCAGAGAUAGGGCGAGACAGAGAUAGGAAGAAGUGGAGUAUGGGAUUGGGGGAGACGCAAAGACGAGGGUGGAUAAUGGGGUCAGGGGAAGAUACAGAGGUAAGAGGGGAGAGAGAGGAAGAUAGACAAGGUGGGGAUGGGGACACCCACAGAGAUGGGAUCAAGAUAGGAGCAGAGAGAGGCCCAGGGAGACGGGGAGGGAAAGAGCGGCAGGAAGAAGGAGAGAGACGGAAGCAGCAGAGACGGGGAGAAGACGGAGAGAGAGAGGACGGAGUGACAGAAACAGGAAUGAGGGAGGCCCAGGGAGAGGAUGAUAGAGGCGGGAAGAGAUGCAGGAAGGCGGGAGAGAUAAGCGAGGCAAGAAAGUUGGACAGAGAAGAAGACAGCAAGGCAGGAAGAGGGAGACAGAGACCCCAAGGCCACCAAGAGACACGCGCACAUAAAGGAUGGGGAAACAAUUGAGAUUGAGGGAGGCAGGCAGAGCGGAGCGAAAACAGGAGGACAGAAAUAGCGAAGCAAGGCCAAGAUCGGGACCCCCACCAGGGAGGUGCCCAGUACAGACAUGAAAGUAAGGCGGGGAAGGCGAGUGGCAGGAGGGAGCAGAAAUAAAAGGGAGGAAAAGGGAGAGAAAAAAUGAGAGGGAAAAGGGGUCAGGUGUGUGGGGAGAGAAAGAGAGAAAUUAGUGGGGCACCCCAAGGAGAGAAAAUCCCCACAUGACCUUACUCCUCACCCUGACCACAACCCCUAACCCAUUUUGUCCCCUUAGUCCUGUCCCCAUCCCCUCAUUCUCAAAGCAAGGGAGUCAUGGCCCCAUCUGGGAUGUGGGGUUGGGGGGCACAGCUGUGGAGAGCUGGGUGGGGUGGGUGUGGGGGUCCCUGGCACCCAGCCCAGAGCAAUUUGGUAAAUUAGAGGAAAUACAGCCUCUCUUCCUGUGCCCCCUGUUGAAUACUAGCCGCCUGGGGUGGUUGGGCUGGGAGCCAGGCUCCUGGGUCCUGCCUGGGACUGAGGGAGGAGGGCACUGGGAGUCUGGACUCCUGGUUCCCAGAGAAGGACUGGAGUCCGCACUAGGGGCUUCCAGAAGGGGUGAGGGUCCAGACAAGGAAGGGUUCUCUCCUGGCUGUCAUGCUCCUGUCUGGUUGCCAUGGUAGCGCAGGCCUCGUCCACCCCACAGACAGCCAGGGCGGGGGAAAGGUCCACCACCCCUCCCCUGCCUCGAGGCCACAGCCCGUCCCCUCUGCCCACCACCUCACCUUCCCAGAGAUCUCGGGCCCCUGUCUCCCCAGGGAAGGGGUUGGGGGCUCCUAGUAUGCCCAUCCCUCCCCGAUCCUGGCUUCUCUUCGCUCCUCCUUUCCAUUGCCCUUCCCCAAGCAGCUGGCUCAAUCAGCGCUCAGAAUAACCCCCCCACUCCGCCCCAAAAUAACCCACAGCUGUGGCCUGGCCCCCGCGGGGUUAACACUCACGCUCCCCUCCAUUCCCAGUGGCUGCUCACCCUCCAGCCCCUCCUCUGCCUCUCCCAGACCCACCCCUACCUGGCUUCUGCUCUUAGGGACCCCGCGUCCCACUCCCUACUGAGGCCCAGGAGGGCAGCCCCCGGCCCCACCCUUCUCACGGGGGCUGCAUGCUCAGUUCCUAACCACAGGGAUUAGGGAGAGCAGCCUCCCCCACUCCAGGGCCUGAGGAGGGGCAUCCCCAGUCCUCCAGGACUCUGAAGGCCCAACCCCCAGAACCCACGCCCUCAGGGAUCACAGAGUCCAGCCUCUGGACAACCCCCCGCUCCCCCCGCCUCCAUCUCUACCUCCUCAUGAGCCUCCGUUUCCACUUCCAUCUGCAUAGGGCUAAAGUCCCCAACACUCAUCUCCUGCCCUGUCAGGGACUCAGGAGACUGAGCUCCCAGCCUGCCUUCCUCAGACGGAAGCGCUAUCCCCUACCUCCUCCCGUAAAGACCCAGGAGUCCUUCUGGCAGCCCCUUCCUCCCCCAGGCCUUGGGAGUCUGGGCAUUCGGUCCUGUUCUUUCCCAGGACCCAGGAGGCCAGGCCCCUCCUGCCCCAAGACUCUGGAACUCCAGUGCCCAGCCUCCUCUCCCUGCAGGAACCAAGAGUCCAGGUCCCCAGCUCCCCUCUUCCCCCAAGGACCCAGGAGUCCGGGUUCCGGCUCCUGUCCUCCCUUAAGGAUCCCCUUUUGGUUUCAAACCCUAUCCUUCCCAACAUCCUGGGUGCCCCCCCACCGAGCUCUGGCCUCCCUAGUCACCCCACUUAGAUCCUGUACAUAGCACAGCCUGUCCCCAAGCGGGGAGGAGGAGGAGGGUGCCAGAAAUUCCUAGGGUGUCCCUGUCUUCAUUGCCCCCCACAGCAUCCAACAGAGAAGAGAGGAGCGGCCACUUCGAUCAACAGCUCCCCCCACAACCUCGAGUUGUGCUGCAGACGGCAUCCCGUUUCCUCCCCCCUCACCUCCCAACACACACACACAACAUCGGUCUCUCCCCACCCGAAUCCUGAUGCUUGGAAGAGGCUGGAAGGGUGUUCCAGAACCUUGAGGAAGGGGUGGGAGCUUGGGGCGAGGGGUGCUGGGGGCCUGGAUGCCCUCAAGGUCCUUGGCGGGGGUAUUAAUAGCAGACUCAUAGCUCUGACAUGGGAGGGGAGAGCGAGAGGAGAGAGGGAGAGGACCGGCUCGCGAUGGGGGGACUGAUGCAGGGAGGGGGGUACAGGGAGAAGGUGAGAUAGAGAGAUGGAGGCACAGGGAUAUGGGGCAUCAGGUAUGUGGGGAUGGGGAGAGGGAGCCAAGUGUCAGAGAAAUGGGGGCGUGAAAGGUCUGAGGUGUAGGGACUCAGGAAAAAGGGGCUCAGAGAGGGAGAGAGAGAGGGUGGAGGAGAGUCCCUGAGGGACAGGGGAGCUAGGUGGGGGUCAAGACCCCUGCCCACCGUUCAAACCCCCUCCCUCCACGAGGCUUCUUGCCAACUUCCUCUGUCCUAGAUUUGGGGGUCCACAUUCCCACCACCAUCCCUGCAUCCCCUGUCCCCGCCUUACCUUUUCAUGACCCUGUUCUGUUGGGGGGAUGGCGGGGGGGCCAGGACCGGAACCCGGCGUCCAGCGACCCCAAGAUUCCGAGGAGGGCUCAGAGAGCCGAUGUCGGGGGGCAGGCCCCGGGGCGGCGGCAGUGGUGGUGGCGGCAGCAGCGGCAGCCCGGACCUCCUGUCUGUCCCUGGCUCCGUCUCUCCUUCCUCUUCCUUGGUCCUGUCCUGCCCUGUCUCUCCCCCAAGGUUGCGGCCACCUGGACUAGGCGAGGACGUGGCUACACAUGUUGCUCUGGAAGUUGGGCCCCGGACAUUGCAGAGGCUGUCGGGGUGUCCUCUUGCCGCCCCGACCCCGUGGGGAUCCCCCCUCCGCCCACCCGGGGUGCCCCCCUCUGCCGCUUCAGCCCCGGCUCCUCCCCCCUUUCCAUGUGUCCAGUCCCGCCUCUCCCUGGCUCACUCGCACCCCCGCUUUGUGCCCUCAGCCCCCCCACCCCCCCUUCCAGCGUCUGUGUCUAUCUGUCUGUCUGGGUCACCUCUGAAGCUAGUGGCUGGUGUGUGCGUGUGAGGAGCGGGAGAUUGCCUGCUUGGGGAACUGCUUGCCCCUUCCUCGCUUGGCCACCUCUAGACCCCCCCUUGACUCCCCCACUCUCAAACACAGGCAGAAACACACAUACACUCACGCACACACGCACGAUCUCACUUCCCUGGGAUUCCCCCUCAACACCCCCAGAGCUUGAGGAGGGACACACACACAGACACACACACACAGAGUGGGGGGUCUAAUGGGGGCCAGGCUGCCACUGCUGAUAGGGGCUGUUUGGACAGACAGGAGGACACAGGCAGCCGGGGACGCCCAGACGCCUGGCCGGACGCAGGCAGGAGGCACAGAACCCAGCCAGCCCCAGACACCCGGACACACAGAUCCUCACCGGGCAGAUGGCAGACGCUCGAGAGACCCCUGGGGGCCGGGCCGACCUACCCAGGCAACACCCCCAGCAGGCACCGGUGGCCGAGGGAGGCUGCGGGAGGCUGCGGGCGAGGGUGGCGGCGGCGGCCGCGGCUUGGAGGAGCUGGAGCGGGAGGGACUCACACACUCGCUGUGUUCUCGCACACACACACUCACUCGGGAUGCGAUUAACAUUCAGUCCCCGUCUGCCACUGCCGGGAGACCCACAGCCCCCCCUCCUGGCCUCCCUGGGGACCCCUUCUCCUGCCAGGCUUGGGGAGGGGGCCGCCCCCCACCCCUAGCUACCAGCCUCUGCCUUCCUCCUGGGACAAGGGAGUGAGGGGCUGAAAAUAAAAAGGGAGGAAGAAGUCAGGCUGGGGACAGGCAGGCAGGGACUCAGAACCCGGUAUGGAGACACCAGCUUCAGAGCUAGACUCCAGGGCUGGGGGUUGCUGCCCUCUGCCCCCGCCCUGCCUUGAGGCUCUGGAAACAGGAGGCCUUUCCCUGACUUCAGUGUUCGCCACACUAAGACCCAAGCUGUGGCUUUUAUUGCCCCAGAAGGCCAGGCCUGAAAACCAGGUCUCGACCCUGGUCCCAGGAGUCCCACCCCCCAGCCCCUCCUCCCUCAGACCCAGGAGUCCCCUUCUCUACUGGGACCCAGGAAUUUGGGGACCGCCUCCAAGUCGGAGUCUCUUUUAAGGACUCAGUCAUCCCGACUCUCCCCCGUACAAGCCACCCUCAGGGACCCAAGACUCGUGGAUGUCACCCUUGGGCACCCCGUCCUUCCAGCCCUCUGAAGAAAUCAACACGCCUGCACCCCUUCUUUUAUUGAGGGACCCUGGCCUCCAUCAUCUGUGGGUACCCCAUCAUCCGGAAGGGAAGCCACGUCUGUCCCCUCAUAGAUGCAGGAGUCCAGACCACAGGCUGUUCCCCGGGGGUCCCACACCCAGAUGCCCAGCAUUCCCCUCCUGCUAGAGGGCUGGGCCCGGCACUUUUAUAAAGCCACCCGUGGGGCUCUGGGGUAGAGCGUGGGGCAGGACACCGGGGCCUCUGAGGGUGGAAGAGGGUGUGUGUGUGUGGGCAGGGCAGAAACUCUGGAGCAGGGGGGAAGCCAGGGCCAGGGGCUCCUGAGGUAGUUUGGGUCAGAGUUUUGGCCUUGAGCCUCCUGGGUGAGGCUCCUGUUUCCUUCAUCCUCAAGGUCUGGGAGAACAGGGUGAGGUGCACAUUCCUGAAAAAGAAGAGAAUCAGGGCCUAAAUCUGUGGGUCGUAAAGGGAGAAACUGUAGAUCUAGAUUCUUAAGGUUAGGAUGUUUGAUCCAUAAGAUGGUGGGGGUGGGACCCUAAGUUCCAAGGAACAGCGUCCUAG
This 5681-nucleotide long non-coding RNA is filed under the name Homo sapiens (human). Its description in RNAcentral is "non-protein coding lnc-KDELR1-2:1". Lineage: Eukaryota; Metazoa; Chordata; Mammalia; Primates; Hominidae. The record is from RNAcentral.